UAAGGUGUUAUAAUAAGCAGAUGUUGGG
Molecule: non-coding RNA, 28 nt
Filed under: Rattus norvegicus (Norway rat)
Lineage: Eukaryota; Metazoa; Chordata; Mammalia; Rodentia; Muridae
Source: RNAcentral